UAGGAUGCCUGGAACUUCCCGGU
This 23-nucleotide microRNA is filed under the name Human gammaherpesvirus 8. RNAcentral describes it as "microRNA-5". The record is from RNAcentral. Lineage: Duplodnaviria; Heunggongvirae; Peploviricota; Herviviricetes; Herpesvirales; Orthoherpesviridae.